UACGUAGGGUGCGAGCGUUAAUCGGAAUUACUGGGCGUAAAGCGUGCGCAGGCGGUUAUAUAAGACAGAUGUGAAAUCCCCGGGCUUAACCUGGGAACUGCGUUUGUGACUGUAUAACUGGAGUACGGUAGAGGGGGGUGGAAUUCCUGGUGUAGCAGUGAAAUGCGUAGAUAUCAGGAGGAACAUCGAUGGCGAAGGCAGCCCCCCCGGACCUGUACUGACGCCCAUGCACGAAAGCGUGGGGAGCAAACAGG
RNAcentral lists this ribosomal RNA (254 nucleotides) under uncultured Uliginosibacterium sp. RNAcentral describes it as "partial 16S ribosomal RNA". It matches the Rfam family "Bacterial small subunit ribosomal RNA", at positions 524 to 776 of the family's 1533-position model. Lineage: Bacteria; Pseudomonadati; Pseudomonadota; Betaproteobacteria; Rhodocyclales; Zoogloeaceae. The record is from RNAcentral.